UGGGGAAUCUUGCGCAAUGGCCGAAAGGCUGACGCAGCGACGCCGCGUGUGGGAGGACGCCUUUCGGGGUGUAAACCACUGUUACCCGGGACGAACACGGCUAUUCGUAGCCGCUGACGGCACCGGGUGAGGAAGCACCGGCUAACUCCGUGCCAGCAGCCGCGGUAAUACGGAGGGUGCGAGCGUUGUCCGGAAUCAUUGGGCGUAAAGGGCGCGUAGGUGGCCCGGUCAGCGUGCGGUGAAAGCUCGGGGCUCAACCCCGAGUCGGCCGUGCGAACUGCUGGGCUCGAGCACUGUAGAGGCAGGCGGAAUUCCGGGUGUAGCGGUGGAAUGCGUAGAGAUCCGGAAGAACACCGGUGGCGAAGGCGGCCUGCUGGGCAGUAGCUGACACUGAGGCGCGACAGCGUGGGGAGCAAACA
RNAcentral lists this ribosomal RNA (419 nucleotides) under uncultured Gemmatimonas sp. RNAcentral describes it as "bacterial SSU rRNA". It matches the Rfam family "Bacterial small subunit ribosomal RNA", at positions 355 to 774 of the family's 1533-position model. Lineage: Bacteria; Pseudomonadati; Gemmatimonadota; Gemmatimonadia; Gemmatimonadales; Gemmatimonadaceae. The record is from RNAcentral.